This 253-nucleotide ribosomal RNA is filed under the name uncultured bacterium. RNAcentral's name for it is "partial 16S ribosomal RNA". It matches the Rfam family "Bacterial small subunit ribosomal RNA", at positions 524 to 776 of the family's 1533-position model. The record is from RNAcentral.
UACGUAGGUGGCAAGCGUUGUCCGGAUUUACUGGGCGUAAAGAGCGCGCAGGCGGUCGUUCAAGUCGCGUGUGAAAGCCCCCGGCUCAACUGGGGAGGGUCACGCGAUACUGAUCGACUCGAAGGCAGGAGAGGGAAGUGGAAUUCCCGGUGUAGUGGUGAAAUGCGUAGAGAUCCGGAGGAACACCAGCGGCGAAGGCGGCGUCCUGGACUGGUACUGACGCUCAGGAGCGAAAGCGUGGGGAGCGAUCCGG